CCUACGGGAGGCAACAGUGAGGAAUAUUGGUCAAUGGACGAGAGUCUGAACCAGCCAUGUAGCGUGAAGGAUGACUGCCCUAUGGGUUGUAAACUUCUUUUAUAAAGGAAUAAAACGAGGCACGUGUGCCUUUUUGCAUGUACUUUAUGAAUAAGGAUCGGCUAACUCCGUGCCAGCAGCCGCGGUAAUACGGAGGAUCCGAGCGUUAUCCGGAUUUAUUGGGUUUAAAGGGAGCGUAGAUGGGUUGUUAAGUCAGUUGUGAAAGUUUGCGGCUCAACCGUAAAAUUGCAAUUGAUACUGGCAGUCUUGAGUACAGUUGAGGUAGGCGGAAUGCGUGGUGUAGCGGUGAAAUGCUUAGAUAUCACGAAGAACCCCGAUUGCGAAGGCAGCUUACUAAACUGUGACUGACAUUGAUGCACGAAAGUGUGGGUAGCAAACAGGAUUAGAUACCCCAGUAGUC
Molecule: ribosomal RNA, 460 nt
Filed under: uncultured bacterium
Lineage: Bacteria
Description: partial 16S ribosomal RNA
Rfam family: Bacterial small subunit ribosomal RNA
Source: RNAcentral